AACGAACGCUGGCGGCAUGCCUAACACAUGCAAGUCGAACGAGACCUUCGGGUCUAGUGUCGCACGGGUGCGUAACGCGUUGGAACCUGCCCUUAGGUUCGGAAUAACUCCCCGAAAGGGGUGCUAAUACCGGAUAAUAUCUUCGGACCAAGGAUUUAUCGCCUUUGGAUGGGCCCGCGUUGGAUUAGCUAGUUGGUAGGGUAAAAGCCUACCAGGGCGACGAUCCAUAGCUGGUUUGAGAGGAUGAUCAGCCACACUGGUGCUGAGACACGGCCCAGACUCCUACGCGAGGGAGCAGAGGGGGAUAUAGGACAGUGGGCGAAAGGAUGAAGCAGUAAUGCCGGGUGAGUGAUGAAGGCCGUAAGGAAGUAAAGCGCUUUUACCCGGGAUGAUAAUGACGGUACCGGGAGAAUAAGCUCCGGCUAACUACGUG
RNAcentral lists this ribosomal RNA (433 nucleotides) under uncultured bacterium. RNAcentral's name for it is "partial 16S ribosomal RNA". It matches the Rfam family "Bacterial small subunit ribosomal RNA", at positions 29 to 507 of the family's 1533-position model. The record is from RNAcentral.